CCUACGGGGGGCAGCAGUGAGGAAUAUUGGUCAAUGGUCUUGAGACUGAACCAGCCAAGCCGCGUGAGGGAUGAAGGUACAGAGUAUCGUAAACCUCUUUUGUCAGGGAACAAAGGCGGGGACGUGUCCCGGAUGAGUGUACCUGAAGAAAAAGCAUCGGCUAACUCCGUGCCAGCAGCCGAGGUAAUAUGGAGGAUGCGAGCGUUAUCCGGAUUUAUUGGGGUUAAAGGGUGCGCAGGCGGUCUGUUAAGUCAGCGGUCAAAGCCCGGGGGUCAACCCCGGCCCGCCGUUGAAACUGGCAGUCUCGAGUUGGAGAGAAGUAUGCGGAAUGCGCGGUGUAGCGGUGAAAUGCAUAGAUAUCGCGCAGAACUCCGAUUGCGAAGGCAGCAUGCCGGCUCCACACUGACGCUGAGGCACGAAAGCGUGGGUAUCGAACAGGAUUAGAUACCCGAGUAGUC
RNAcentral lists this ribosomal RNA (458 nucleotides) under uncultured bacterium. RNAcentral describes it as "partial 16S ribosomal RNA". It matches the Rfam family "Bacterial small subunit ribosomal RNA", at positions 338 to 795 of the family's 1533-position model. The record is from RNAcentral.